This is a long non-coding RNA of Notothenia coriiceps (black rockcod), 4270 nucleotides long. RefSeq lists it as uncharacterized. NCBI's taxonomy places the organism in Eukaryota, Metazoa, Chordata, Actinopteri, Perciformes, Nototheniidae. The record is from RefSeq and is a predicted model, not a curated record. The transcript is spliced from 2 exons.
UUCCUCCCUUCAAGCCUCAGGUGACAUCGGAGACGGACACCAGAUACUUUGACGAGGAGUUCACGGCCCAGACCAUCACGAUCACUCCACCAGAGAAAUUCGACGAGGACGGGAUGGAAUGUCUGGACAACGAGAGACGACCGCACUUCCCGCAGUUUUCCUACUCUGCCAGCGGGCGGGAAUGAACUGUUGUCACGGUGACAUCAUCACAACUGGUCUCUGAGGUCAUCAGCGUGGGACAGAAAGACCCACAGCUUUGGACAGACCCAAAAAGACUUGAAGGAUGUUUCCCCCUCUCCUCUUCAUCCUCUCUUUUUCACCUCUGCAGUCUGCUUCCAUUUUCUUUUCUAAUUUUGAUGAAUCCCUUUUCUAGAAAGAACUCCCAGGCGAAGUUACUUUGUGAUCCUGCACUGCAGCCCUAGGUGAUCCGAACUGUGAUGUGAUCAGUUACUAUGUAAUGUCCCUUUAAUGACAGGAGCAUCACCGGUGGCCUGCUGUGCUUUGACAUGUGUCAAACUCCUAAACUGAUCCACUUAGAGAACAGCUGAUGUGUUUUAAGGAGGCUUCUCAUCAGUAAGAAGGAGAUAUAGCAUUUCAUUCAAACCUAAACUGCCGUUACCGGUUGUAUCUCAGGCUUUUUGCAAACAGAGAGAUGCUCUCAGACUCAGAGACACUCGGGUCUGGUUUCAAACCCUCACCUUAAAGGUUCGGGGAUUGAUUGAGGCUGCCUUGCAUUUGCAGUUGUCACCAGUGAGAUGAAUCCUGAAGCAGGAUGUCACUCAGGUUUUGCUCAGUGCAAUCCAUUAUUAUUGUUGCUGCUAUUUCAACUACUACAGGUACUACUACUACUACUAUAUACUGCUACUACUGAACCCGGUGCUACACUGCUAGCUUAAUGCUGCAGAUCAUCAUACAGGCGCCAGCAACACAUCAAACACUUUAUUAAUGUCUAUGCUUGAAAAGCUGCAGAACAGCUGUUGCUAUGUACAGCUCAACUCUGUAGGUUAUUAUAGGAUGUCAUGUUUGUGUGAGUGCGCAAGAUAUUAUAAUAGGUUUGUGUUUAAGAUCGCACUUCAAAGCACAGCAGUUCAGAAGGAUGAAGCUCCCAAACCAUGAGCUUUACUACAUUACCCACAGUGCAGUGCAAGGUGGUUCAUGUAUCCAUCUGUGAGGAGGUGAAAACGAGAGGAAGACAGUUAGUUUUGAAUAUUUUUGUUUGUUUAUUUCUCUAAUUCCCUCUGAGUGUAAUUCUGUCGUGUCCCUAAAGAGAAAAGGAAAGUGAGACGCUCUUCGUGUCGAUGACGAAGCUUUACUCGUCACGGCUUUUUGAACCACACGGCUGUACCUCUCUGUCUCUGAAAGAAAGAGAGACUGACACAGGAGCAGAUUCACCACAGAGUGAGAAAAAAGUCCAGGUCGGGCAUUGGUGAUAAGAUUAAAGAGAGAGAUUACAGGUGAACAGCUCCAAGAAGGAUGACAUAUUUACAAAGUGAUAAUUUAUGAUGUAUUAAUGAGUGAGAUUACAGCAGAUUUCCUGUGAGAUUGUUACGAAGGGUUUUGUAUGGUCUGUUAGGAGGUACUCAUCAACAUUAAUGGGUUUACACCAAUCCCAGCAAUGGCUAUAGUAUAUAUAUUAUAUAUUAUUUAAUAUAUUAUAUAUAUAAUGUUCUAUUUAUUGUUCUACUCAUCGCUUUUAUAUUUAACUUUUUCUAUUGUUAUUUCAUUAUUCUAGAAAAAAAUAUUUCUUAGGGCUGAGAGAAGAAAAAAAAAAAGCACCUCAAGAAACAAAAACGGCUGAAAGAAUGUAGGAAGGAAAGCAGAUAGCCUUCCUUUUCCAUCGUUUGUUUCAAUUAUGUGUUGUUUUGUGACCAAAAUGUGACAGUCCAGUGUUGACAGGACGCAUUAAAGACAGACGUUAAUUCAACCAGAAAAUAAUAUAUUUAUACAAACACCUUUAUCAAUCCAGAUCAUCCCACAGGUGUUUGCUAUGAAAGCUCAUCUCAUUGUUUGGUUAUUAACACACGGUGCCCUUAUUUAAUCUCACCACAAGUGUUUUGGGAAAGCUGAGGCAGAGAGGAAGUGGAAGUUGAGCAGAAAGUGCAGCGCAGAAUGUAAAGCGGUAAGGUUUAAUGUUGAACUGUAAGUGCUACUUUUUAAGUGAGUCGAGAAAGUCGAAUGAUAAGGGAUAUCUAAUGUGAGUUUGUAAGGUGGGUCAUAUAUUUUGAUUGUAGAUGAGAAAGAGCAUUUUCCUUUAAGUAAGAGAAGGGAUUUUCUUCUGUCUUUAACGCGACUGUCUCCUCUUCGCUGGACGUUGUUUGUCUGCGUCGUCAUGUCUUCCAGUCUGACCACCAAUAUUUAAAAUCCCCUCCAUUCCAGUCUUCAAACGCCAGUAAGCCUUAUGGUUUAUUUCAGAAUAAGUCAAACAUUUUAAAAUCCAGCAAAAAACACAUAUGAGAGAAAAAAAAAACGUUAUCUGAAAUUGUAUUUGAAUUUUAAAACACUUGUGGAAGACCCUAAUAUCUGGAUGACAGAUUACAGAGAGCACUAGGGGAUGUGUUCUUAUAAGGCGUAGAAAACUGUAUUCAAUAUUUAUUUGAAUGUGUUAUUCUUAUCAUUGAUGAUUAACUUGAAUUUAUUUUCUAUUUAAUUUAUUUAAUGUCAUUUUGUUUUGGAGUUUAGCAGUAAGGGGGUGUAGUCGUGUUUCGCUCUGCAGUUUAAGUCUCCAGAGAUUUUGUCCUUGAAAUAAAUGCCUCAUUUAUUUCUUUACCGGCAUCUCUUAUCCGACACAUUACCUGUUUUUUCUGCUGCUCUCAAGUCCAUCUGCUUUUCACUUGCACAUCCAUUAAAUUGCUACUAGCUGGCAAAGGCGCUUUAUGGCAGAAAGUAGAAAAGGACGGCAUGCUGCAGUCCUCUGUCCGCAGGCCUGAGUCAAAGUGGCACUCAGAACUCUUAUGAGGACUGCUUCUCUGUGAUCGAUUGAGCCUGUCUGGCACAGCUGAAGCAGCCGAGGAGUUCAAAAUGAGAGCAGCUUCCUCCCAGCUGGCAGCUCGUCAGGCUCAAGCAAACGCUUCCAUGUAUUUGGAAGGAUUUGUGCUUUGCUUUGACCCAGGUCUGCGAUGUCUGAGGAGCUCGGGCUGUAUGUGCGCGCUUCCCGCCAAAAUCAUUGGAAACCAGAGUUCAUAAAAUACCGCUUUGUAGCUUUGGCCACGGCACUUUCACAUCCAUCACUUUUUAUAUGAGUCAGAAGAAUCUGAUUCAGCCCUGCUUUAAAGGAAGAUUUUUAGCUUUUUUAUGUUUUUAAGAAAAUGAGGAUUUUUAAAGCACAUCUCCCCUCACAUACGACCGAUAGCUUUCAUGUUGCUCUGAUGUCUCGGUCAGCGCUGCAGAAUCACGCUCAGUCCACUGGUCAGUCUUCAUAAACUCACAAUCCACUGAUGUCCCCGACUCCUUCCCUCCGUUGAGCCUCUGCUUUUAUCCAUUCCAAGUUUAUUUACUGGCAGCAAAAAUGCUUAUUCUAAGGUAAGAGAUUAAAAAAAAAAAGUGAUCCUCCAACUACUGAGAAGAUGGAGCUCCUCAUGAGUUUAGGGUUCCUCUUAAAGACUAUGAAACAGUUGUGGACACAUGUCAGUCAUUCCUUAAACUUUAAGGACCUUUUUAAAGUUCACUCUUAAAGCUGCUGCUGUUUGUACUGUUCAUCUACUCAACAGAACAGAUUUGGAUGUAAUGUAACAGACCUCAGCUGCUCUGUUUUGGUCUCGUCUGUUAAUGAACCGACAGCGUGAGCCAAAGUCAGAAAACACGUCUCUUUAAUACAGAAAAACGAGUAAACAGCUCCGGCGUUUGGAAGGAUUUCUGAAAGUAUUCGACCUCCCACUCUUCUUCCUCUGGUCUUCUAUCAUCAUGAUUAUUAACAUGAACAAGCAUGAGAUGCAUUUAUUUAUAAGCAGCAAACAAAAAGCAGCGAAACAUGUAAAAGUAUUACAAAGUGUAACUGAGUUCUAAUGUCAUGUCCAUCCUACUGUAGCUGUACAGCUGUGUGAGAUAUUUCCCAGAGGGCCGUGUUUCCCUGACGCUCUGAAACAGUCUGGAGGUGAAACAGAGAGUGCUGCUGGCCGGUGAGCCGCCAGGAUGUGAAAACAACAGAUUACCAUCAACAUGAAGCUGUUUUUUACACUGUACAUCCUUAGUAUUUUUACACAAAGUAUAUGAUAGGGAUGCACAUUAUUUUCCUUCUUACAGACGGCUUCAAUAAAGCACUAUGUCAAUCUGC